RNAcentral lists this ribosomal RNA (305 nucleotides) under Collyriclum faba. Its description in RNAcentral is "SSU rRNA". It matches the Rfam family "Eukaryotic small subunit ribosomal RNA", at positions 715 to 1022 of the family's 1831-position model. Lineage: Eukaryota; Metazoa; Platyhelminthes; Trematoda; Plagiorchiida; Collyriclidae. The record is from RNAcentral.
GAUGCCUUUAACCGGGUGUCGGGGGCGGACGGCACGUUUACUUUGAACAAAUUUGAGUGCUCAAAGCAGGCCUAUGCCUGAAAAUUCUUGCAUGGAAUAAUGGAAUAGGACUUCGGUUCUAUUUUGUUGGUUUUCGGAUCCGAAGUAAUGGUUAAGAGGGACAGACGGGGGCAUUUGUAUGGCGGUGUUAGAGGUGAAAUUCUUGGAUCGCCGCCAGACAAACUACAGCGAAAGCAUUUGCCAAGGAUGUUUUCAUUGAUCUGGAGCGAAAGUCAGAGGUUCGAAGACGAUCAGAUACCGUCCUA